CUACCCCCGCCUGGGGAUUAAGCAUAUCAAUAAGCGGAGGAAAAGAAACCAACAGGGAUUGCCUCAGUAACGGCGAGUGAAGCGGCAACAGCUCAAAUUUGAAAUCUGGCCUCUUGGGGGGUCCGAGUUGUAAUUUGUAGAGGAUGUUUCGGGUACCGCCUCGGUUUAAAUUUCUUGGAACAGAAUGUCAGAGAGGGUGAGAAUCCCGUCUUGGACCGGCGGUAGGGCCCAUGUGAAACUCCUUCGACGAGUCGAGUUGUUUGGGAAUGCAGCUCAAAAUGGGUGGUAAAUUUCAUCUAAAGCUAAAUAUUGGCCAGAGACCGAUAGCGCACAAGUAGAGUGAUCGAAAGAUGAAAAGAACUUUGAAAAGAGAGUUAAACAGUAUGUGAAAUUGUUGAAAGGGAAGCGCUUGCAACCAGACUUGAGCGCGGCGGUUCCCCCUUCCUUUUGGUUGGGUUACUCCGCCGUGUCCAGGCCAACAUCGGUUCUGGGGGUCGGUUAAAGGCCCGGGGAAUGUAUCUACUCCUCCGGGGGUAGACUUAUAGCCCCGGGUGUCAUGCGACCACCCGGGACCGAGGAACGCGCUUCGGCUCGGAUGUUGGCGUAAUGGUUGUCAGCGACCCGUCUUGAAACACGGACCAAGGAGUCUAACAUCUAUGCGAGUGUUUGGGUGUCAAACCCGGAACGCGGAAUGAAAGUGAACGGAGGUAGGAAGCCUUUAGGCUGCACUAUCGACCGAUCCUGAUGUCUUCGGAUGGAUUUGAGUAAGAGCAUAGCUGUUGGGACCCGAAAGAUGGUGAACUAUGCCUGAAUAGGGUGAAGCCAGAGGAAACUCUGGUGGAGGCUCGCAGCGGUUCUGACGUGCAAAUCGAUCGUCAAAUUUGGGUAUAGGGGCGAAAGACUAAUCGAACCAUCUGGUAGCUGGUUUCCUGCCGAAGUUCCCCUCAGGAA
RNAcentral lists this ribosomal RNA (951 nucleotides) under Rhinocladiella atrovirens. RNAcentral's name for it is "LSU rRNA". It matches the Rfam family "Eukaryotic large subunit ribosomal RNA", at positions 24 to 979 of the family's 3401-position model. The record is from RNAcentral. Lineage: Eukaryota; Fungi; Ascomycota; Eurotiomycetes; Chaetothyriales; Herpotrichiellaceae.